Molecule: long non-coding RNA, 446 nt
Organism: Oncorhynchus masou masou (cherry salmon)
Lineage: Eukaryota; Metazoa; Chordata; Actinopteri; Salmoniformes; Salmonidae
Exons: 3
Source: RefSeq, a predicted model, not a curated record
GCAGGACCAAGUAGGCUUCUCCGACGGAGAAACAAUUGUCCACCAUGGCACAUCAGAAAAUGCUGAAAAGGACACGCGACGUUCCAGUGGAUGGCAGACGGAGAGAAUGACAUCAUCCAUCAAAAAAAAUACAGUCUCAACGAAAGAUAUAAAAAGGAACUUGACCCUGUGGUUGGAGAAGAUCUUCCGGACCAACUCACACCUCUCAAAUGUGGCCCUUACUACUCGGAAGCUGGUGGUGUAUAUCACUAUCCGCCCAAACUCUAGUGUCAACUUCGGCUAGAAAGGAAAACACAUAAAAAAUUCAAUGAGUUGCUGUAUGUGAUUAACCAUCAAUAAAAAGGUAACUGCCAAAAUAAAUAAACACCAACAUAAAGUGUCUUAAUAGGGCGUUGGGCCACCACGAGCCAGAACAGCUUCAAUGCACCUUGGCAUAGAUUCUACAA